CAUUCGAGAUAGCAUUUUUUGUAAUAUUAAAAAUGUUUUUUCUUCUGAUUGUGAACGUAAAUGUGCUACAGAUAGUCACGCUUUUUAGACAAUAUACAUUUUUUUAAAAAGUAAAAUGCAUUUUAAAGACAACUUACAAUAUGUUGUGAAGGCCUGAGGAUAUAAGCCUUCGGAUGUGACUUUAAGCAGUGGAUCCUGAAGAUGGAUGCAUGGAUAUUAAAUAUGGACUACAGAAGACUUACGGAGUUCAUGGAGUAGCCUUCUUGAAUUAUCCUCUCAGCUGAGCCUUCGUGGAAUAUUCAAACUGAAUCCAUCGUGUGAUUCAGAUCACUUUCAACCUAUUAAGUAGUGGACCCGCUGUGAUUUCUCAGAGGUGUUUAUUAAAUAUGAAAUUCAACGUAUGCAUUUGUUUUUGUAAAAUGUUUCCUUAGUUAUUUACUUCAUGGUUAAUGAAAAUUAGCAAUCAGCUUUAAUUAAUCUGGUAUAAAUUUUGCCAAAUGCUUUAUACAUUUCUAACAAAACCUAAACGCUAAAGUAUUUAUUAGCUGAAAUAAUGAAUACUUAUUAAUAUUUAAAAACAGUGCCUUAUUUUUAGCCCAUUGCUUGUUUUUAAUCCAUUGCUGUCUUAAAUUUGAUUUUAAUCACUGAAAACUGAGUACUAUAACGGGAGCAACUGCAAAAUAACUCUCUCUGGAAGGACAUUAAGGACCAACAUGGUUUAACGUUUAAAUUGGAUUAAAUCAAGAUUACAUUUAGUUUACAAAUAAUUCUGGUUAAAUGUAAACCUUUGGUGACCUCAGUUUAAUUUCCCUUUAAACCUUGAUUAAAUUCAUGUCUGUUGCACCCAUAAAUUUAAACCUAGUAUAAAGCUGGAUUAGCAGUCAUAUUUAAACCACCCCCUGAAGAGGUUUAUGUUAGGGUCUGUUUCAGUUUUAUUGACAACAUGGUUGCAUAUCUUUGCUAGAUGGGAUUAGAGGAAAAUUCAAGACAGGUUAAACCCAAUUGAAUUUUAGACCUAUAAUGCGUUUUCCCAGCACUAUAGGUUUUCAAAAAAAGUCUGUCAUGGGUAGAGUGAACCAGAUAUCAAACAUGGAAAUAAGAGGAAUUCUGCUGUACCUCUACUUCUCUGACCCCCAGUAGUUUUUUGUUUUUAUGCUACAGGGAAUUUUCAACUGGUUUAGGGCUCUUUUUUGGAGUUCACAAGUCCACAGUCUGUGAAAUUGUAAGCAGAGUAUCAAAGGCAACUGCACAUUUAAAGAAUCAGUAUAUUCAUUUUGAACCAAGGAGGAAGAUAUCAGCUGGAUUUUACAGGAGAGCAGGCUUUCCUAACAGUGGAGCUAUUGACUGCACCUACAUUUUCAUGGCUAAGGUGAUGAGAAUGGGGAACGUUCUCAUAAUCGAAAGGACUACUGCUCAAUUAAUGUCUAAGUUGUGUGUGAAAAGUAAAAGUAGCUCAACAUAACUUCUAUAUAAGUGUGGUAAAAGUAACUUUUAUUUUAGAAAGUUCACAAGACAUUUGCAUUAGCUUUGUUUAGGGCCUUAUUUAUUUAGCCUUGGAUGCAUUGUGAAUUUGUUUACAUUUGUUGAAAUCCAUCAUGGCAGACACUGAACCUAAAUAAAUCCCAUUUUAAUCAUUGUUUAAA
Molecule: long non-coding RNA, 1643 nt
Organism: Brienomyrus brachyistius
Lineage: Eukaryota; Metazoa; Chordata; Actinopteri; Osteoglossiformes; Mormyridae
Exons: 2
Source: RefSeq, a predicted model, not a curated record